RNAcentral lists this ribosomal RNA (253 nucleotides) under uncultured bacterium. Its description in RNAcentral is "partial 16S ribosomal RNA". It matches the Rfam family "Bacterial small subunit ribosomal RNA", at positions 524 to 776 of the family's 1533-position model. The record is from RNAcentral.
UACGUAGGGCGCAAGCGUUGUCCGGAUUUAUUGGGCGUAAAGGGUGCGUAGGCGGUCGGGUAAGUCUGAUGUGAAAUCUCACAGCUUAACUGUGAAACUGCAUUGGAUACUAUCCGGCUCGAGGAAUGGAGGGGAGACUGGAAUACUUGGUGUAGCAGUGAAAUGCGUAGAUAUCAAGUGGAACACCAGUGGCGAAGGCGGCUCACUGGCCCGGUACUGACGCUGAGGUGCGAAAGCGUGGGGAGUAAACAGG